GGAGAAGGGAGCUGGGGAGAGGAGAAAGUUUCAGAAAGGCAACUUGGGGCUGUGGAGGAGUGCAGCUGGACAGAAGAAGGGGUUUUCUCUUUCGAUUUUAUUUUAAUUUUUGUAUUUUUAGCAUAGACGGGGUUUCGUCAUGUUGCCCAGGCUAGUCUUGAACUCCUGACCUCAAGUGCUGGGACUACAGGCACGCACCACCAUGCCCGCUAGUUUUUGCAUUUUUUAUAGAGAUGGGAUUUCACCAUGUUGCCUAGGCUGGUCUCCUGAGCUCAAGCGAUCUGCCUGCCUCAACCUCCCAAAGUGCUGGGAUUACAGGUGUGAGCCACUGUGGCCAGCCCUUGACUCUUUCUUAGCAGAUGCAUUAGAGUUAGCAAUGAGAUCAACUUUUAGGGAGACUUUUUUGGAGAAGAUGCUCAAG
Molecule: long non-coding RNA, 421 nt
Filed under: Homo sapiens (human)
Lineage: Eukaryota; Metazoa; Chordata; Mammalia; Primates; Hominidae
Description: non-protein coding lnc-MAOA-4:1
Source: RNAcentral